CCUACGGGGGGCAGCAGUAAGGAAUAUUGGGCAAUGGAGGCAACUCUGACCCAGCCAUGCCGCGUGAAGGAUGACGGCCCUAUGGGUUGUAAACUUCUUUUAUACGGGAAUAAACCCGGGUACGUGUACCCGGCUGAAUGUACCGUAAGAAUAAGGAUCGGCUAACUCCGUGCCAUCAGCCGCGGUACUACGGAGGAUCCAAGCGUUAUUGGGAUUCAUUGGGUUUUAAGGGUGCGUGGACGGCUUUGUAGAAAUCCUACAGCUUAACUGUAGAACUGCCGUUGAUACUGCAAGUCUUGAGUACAUUUGAUGUGGGCGGAAUGUGUCAUGUAGCGGUGAAAUGCUUAGAUAUGACACGGAACACCAAUUGCGAAGGCAGCUCACAAAACUGUAACUGACGCUGAGGCACGACAGCGUGGGGAUCAAACAGGAUUAGAUACCCGAGUAGUC
RNAcentral lists this ribosomal RNA (450 nucleotides) under uncultured bacterium. RNAcentral describes it as "partial 16S ribosomal RNA". It matches the Rfam family "Bacterial small subunit ribosomal RNA", at positions 338 to 795 of the family's 1533-position model. The record is from RNAcentral.